UUCCCUUCUUCGUGUGCAAAUUUGCAGUCGGCUGAGUCCAGUGGAAUCUCUACUGAGAGAUGGCAAAUCAGCUUUACGGCUAUAACCCUAGUGGCACCGCCGGAAUAGUAGCCGCCAAUACGAGAUCCAUGGAAGAUUAUCUCUCUAAGGAUAAGACAUUGCUGAGUUCUUCAACUUAUUUUGGUUCUACCGCCUAUUCCAGUUAUCAGACUGAUACUUACUCUCCUACUGCGAGUAGGAUUCCAGGUUAUGGACCUCCUGGUGUUGAUGUUACACAACCUGCCGCUGUUACUGACUCUUAUUUUUCUAGCUUGAAGCGCUCAUCCUCUAACGCACUGUAUCAUCAGGCACUUUUGGGUGCACAUAAUACAAUUGGGCAAGCUGAAGCUUGGUGUUCAGCCAAUCCUUUAGCCAAGCGCCCUAGAUUCGAGAGUGCAAGCAAUUUAUCUAUAUAUCCCCAGAGGCCUGGAGAGAAGGACUGUGCCCAUUAUAUGCAAACACGAACUUGUAAAUUUGGAGAUAGCUGCAAGUUUGACCAUCCUAUUUGGGUUCCUGAGGGUGGUAUCCCGAAUUGGAAAGAGGUUCCAGUUUCAACUGAAUCUCUUCCUGAAAGACCCGGAGAGCCUGAUUGUCCAUAUUUUGUGAAGACUAAAAAAUGCAAGUUCGGUGAUAGAUGCAAAUUUAACCAUCCCAAAGAUAACGCAGCUCAUUUGUUUCAGGGUUCUGUACAAAAUCCUGGUGUUUCUGACUUGCCUGAGAGACCUUCUGAACAGCAAUGCACGUUCUACAUGAAGACGGGAACGUGUAAAUUUGGUGCUACCUGCAAAUUUCACCAUCCAAGAGAUAUACAAUUGCCAUCUCCAACACAAAAAAAUGGCUCUGUGGGGAAGCUUGGAUCAGCUAAUUAUGAGAUGACUGAGGAUGUGAAUCUAGUCAAGCCGCUUUCUGUUGCAGCUUUAUUGCACAACUCCAAGGGCCUUCCCAUUAGACCGGGUGAAGUUGAUUGUCCUUUCUACCUAAAAACUGGCAGCUGCAAGUAUGGAGGCACUUGCCGUUACAGCCAUCCUGAAAGAAAUGGAGUUGGUAUUGGUCCUGCCCUUGUAGCCUCUCCUGCAACACAUUGGAACAUUGGAAUGGUUAAUCCAGCUGCCUCUCUCUUCCAAAAUUUUGAUCCGAGACUGACUCAUACAAUGCUUGGGGUGCUUCCACCUGUCUAUCCACAACGACCUGGACAAGUUGAAUGUGAUUUCUAUAUGAAAACCGGGGAAUGCAAGUAUGGUGAAAAAUGCAAGUUUCAUCACCCUCUUGAUCGUUCAGCAUCUGCAGUGUCAGUAAAGGAUGUACAGCAGCCAAAUGUUAAACUUACCCUUGCUGGUUUACCAAGGAGGGAGGGUGCUGUACUCUGUCCAUACUACAUGAAGACCGGUAUGUGCAAGUAUGGGGCAUCAUGCAAAUUUGACCAUCCACCACCUGGAGAGGUCUUGGGUAUGACAACAUCCCAAGGGGCAUCGUUGUCUGUUGAUGGAGUCGAUAAUGUUGAUGUGAAUGAAUAACAGCAGUAAGGUUAUAGCUGAAAGGCCAUUUUCGUAGUCACAUCCUUUUCAGGAAUACCUUAUUCUGCUACCUCUUGGUAGCAAACUUGUAAAUCAUAUUUUUUCUAGAUCAGCUUUGGAUAUUCUUUUAGAGUUGGAACACAGUUUUUCGUCCACACCAAAAUGUGAUGGAACAUUUUUUUUUUUGUUGCAAUGAUA
This 1751-nucleotide unclassified non-coding RNA is filed under the name Hevea brasiliensis (rubber tree). The record is from RNAcentral. Lineage: Eukaryota; Viridiplantae; Streptophyta; Magnoliopsida; Malpighiales; Euphorbiaceae.